RNAcentral lists this ribosomal RNA (483 nucleotides) under uncultured bacterium. RNAcentral's name for it is "bacterial SSU rRNA". It matches the Rfam family "Bacterial small subunit ribosomal RNA", at positions 1038 to 1529 of the family's 1533-position model. The record is from RNAcentral.
GUGCUGCAUGGUUGUCGUCAGCUCGUGCCGUGAGGUGUCGGCUUAAGUGCCAUAACGAGCGCAACCCUUGUUGUCAGUUACUAACAGGUUCCGCUGAGGACUCUGACAAGACUGCCAUCGUAAGAUGUGAGGAAGGUGGGGAUGACGUCAAAUCAGCACGGCCCUUACGUCCGGGGCUACACACGUGUUACAAUGGGGGGUACAGAGGGCCGCUACCACGCGAGUGGAUGCCAAUCCCCAAAACCUCUCUCAGUUCGGACUGGAGUCUGCAACCCGACUCCACGAAGCUGGAUUCGCUAGUAAUCGCGCAUCAGCCACGGCGCGGUGAAUACGUUCCCGGGCCUUGUACACACCGCCCGUCAAGCCAUGGGAGCCGGGGGUACCUGAAGUGCGUAACCGCGAGGAGCGCCCUAGGGUAAAACUGGUGACUGGGGCUAAGUCGUAACAAGGUAGCCGUACCGGAAGGUGCGGCUGGAUCACCUC